This 256-nucleotide ribosomal RNA is filed under the name uncultured bacterium. RNAcentral's name for it is "partial 16S ribosomal RNA". It matches the Rfam family "Bacterial small subunit ribosomal RNA", at positions 96 to 353 of the family's 1533-position model. The record is from RNAcentral.
UGGCGGACGGGUGAGUAAUGUCUGGGAAACUGCCCGAUGGAGGGGGAUAACUACUGGAAACGGUAGCUAAUACCGCAUAACGUCGCAAGACCAAAGAGGGGGACCUUCGGGCCUCUUGCCAUCGGAUGUGCCCAGAUGGGAUUAGCUAGUAGGUGGGGUAAAGGCUCACCUAGGCGACGAUCCCUAGCUGGUCUGAGAGGAUGACCAGCCACACUGGAACUGAGACACGGUCCAGACUCCUACGGGAGGCAGCAUG